Molecule: ribosomal RNA, 485 nt
Filed under: uncultured bacterium
Lineage: Bacteria
Description: partial 16S ribosomal RNA
Rfam family: Bacterial small subunit ribosomal RNA
Source: RNAcentral
UGGGGAAUAUUGGACAAUGGGCGCAAGCCUGAUCCAGCAAUGCCGCGUGAGUGAUGAAGGCCUUAGGGUUGUAAAGCUCUUUCGCACGCGACGAUGAUGACGGUAGCGUGAGAAGAAGCCCCGGCUAACUUCGUGCCAGCAGCCGCGGUAAUACGAAGGGGGCUAGCGUUGUUCGGAAUUACUGGGCGUAAAGGGCGCGUAGGCGGCCUGUUUAGUCAGAAGUGAAAGCCCCGGGCUCAACCUGGGAAUAGCUUUUGAUACUGGCAGGCUUGAGUUCCGGAGAGGAUGGUGGAAUUCCCAGUGUAGAGGUGAAAUUCGUAGAUAUUGGGAAGAACACCGGUGGCGAAGGCGGCCAUCUGGACGGACACUGACGCUGAGGCGCGAAAGCGUGGGGAGCAACAGGAUUAGAUACCCUGGUAGUCCACGCCGUAAACGAUGAAUGCUAGACGUCGGGGUGCAUGCACUUCGGUGUCGCCGCUAACGCA